AUCCAGCUGACGAGUCCCAAAUAGAACGAAUCACGAUUCUUAGAU
RNAcentral lists this non-coding RNA (45 nucleotides) under Schistosoma curassoni. Lineage: Eukaryota; Metazoa; Platyhelminthes; Trematoda; Strigeidida; Schistosomatidae. The record is from RNAcentral.